CCUCUCGGGGUUACAGCCUUGCUGAAUUAUUCACCCUUGUCUUUUGCGUACUUCUUGUUUCCUUGGUGGGUUCGCCCACCACUAGGACAAACAUAAACCUUUUGUAAUUGCAAUCAGCGUCAGUAACAAAUUAAUAAUUACAACUUUCAACAACGGAUCUCUUGGUUCUGGCAUCGAUGAAAACGCAGCGAAAUGCGAUAAGUAGUGUGAAUUGCAGAAUUCAGUGAAUCAUCGAAUCUUUGAACGCACAUUGCGCCCUUUGGUAUUCCAAAGGGCAUGCCCGUUCGAGCGUCAUUUGUACCCUCAAGCUUUGCUUGGUGUUGGGCGUCUUGUCUCUAGCUUUGCUGGAGACUCGCCUUAAAGUAAUUGGCAGCCGGCCUACUGGUUCCGGAGCGCAGCACAAGUCGCACUCUCUAUCAGCAAAGGUCUAGCAUCCAUUAAGCCUUUUUUUUCAACUUUUGACCUCGGAUCAGGUAGGGAUACCCGCUGAACUUAAGCAUAUCA
This 504-nucleotide ribosomal RNA is filed under the name uncultured fungus. RNAcentral's name for it is "eukaryotic LSU rRNA". The stretch from base 142 to 294 matches the Rfam family "5.8S ribosomal RNA". The record is from RNAcentral. Lineage: Eukaryota; Fungi.